UACGUAGGGGGCAAGCGUUAUCCGGAAUUACUGGGUGUAAAGGGUGAGUAGGCGGCAUGGUAAGCCAGAUGUGAAAGCCUUGGGCUUAACCCGAGGAUUGCAUUUGGAACUAUCAAGCUAUAGUACAGGAGAGGAAAGCGGAAUUCCUAGUGUAGCGGUGAAAUGCGUAGAUAUUAGGAAGAACACCAGUGGCGAAGGCGGCUUUCUGGACUGAAACUGACGCUGAGGCACGAAAGCGUGGGGAGCGAACAGG
Molecule: ribosomal RNA, 253 nt
Filed under: uncultured bacterium
Lineage: Bacteria
Description: partial 16S ribosomal RNA
Rfam family: Bacterial small subunit ribosomal RNA
Source: RNAcentral